Papaver somniferum (opium poppy) is the source of this 1171-nucleotide long non-coding RNA. RefSeq lists it as uncharacterized. The record is from RefSeq and is a predicted model, not a curated record. Lineage: Eukaryota; Viridiplantae; Streptophyta; Magnoliopsida; Ranunculales; Papaveraceae. The transcript is spliced from 3 exons.
UAUUUAACCUCCCUUACUUCGUUCUUCUCCGCUUCUGAUUCGUUCUUCUUCGCUUCUUAUAACAGAAGAAAAAAUAUUUCAUCCCCACCACCGCCAUCAUUUCCAUCGCCCUCCACCACCGCCAAGAUCUAUCACCGCCACCAAAACCAGCACCACCAUCUCCAUUACGUCCGCCACUAGUAUCAGCAGAUUUAUUACGAUUUGUGUUCGAUUUCAACUAAUUUUAAACCAGUUUCAAAGAUCAGUUUGAUUUUUGGUUUUCGGUUUGGUAAUAUCAAGGUUGAGAUUUAGAUUUCAAGUGGAUUUUGAGUUAAAGAUUCGAAUUCAGUGAUUUGAGAUUUGUUGAUUCUGAACGGAUAAGGUUCAAUUUUAUUUUUAGGUUUUGGUUUUGAAAUUUGUGAAAACUAAAAAAUUGGGUUACAUAUUGAUUAAUAUCGAUAAGAGAGAGAUUUAGUUUCCAUUUUGUAUUUCAUUUAUCUAAAUUAGUUUCUGGUGGUGGUGGUGGUGGUGAUUAAAUUGAUGAAACUAUGGUUGGCGGUUUGAAGCUACUGGUGUUAUUGUUUGUAUAUUACUUUUCAGUACAUACUGGUGGUGAUGUUGGUGUAUCAAGAUGUAACAGGAGGUGAUGGGUAUUAGAUGGUAGUGGGUGGUGGUGGAUAGAAUAUGCUAAACAGAAGGGACUGAGUAUGUUGCUCGUUUGGAUCUAAUUGGUGAACUGAGUUGUUAUUGUAUGGUAAUCAGGUUGUGCAAGAUGAGUAUGAGUUCUUUACAAAACAACAAUUGGUGACCAUAUUUUUUGCCCCAAAUUAUUGUGGAGUAUUCUGGUGCUAUAACGAUCGUCGAUAACGCACUAAGUUGUUCGUUUCAUAUCCUUAAACCCAGUGAGAAGAAAGCUGAAGGUUCCGCAUCAUGUCAGAAACACCACCUCCUAAGAACUGCUGUUACUGUGCGACGGGUCGAGAUGUAUCAUACCCAGGCCUAAAUGUAUCCUACCAGACCUGAAGGAAAGAUUUCAUGUUAAGGAGUUAGUUUUAGGUUGUUUGUUGGUUAAAAUGUUUGGUCUGUAUUACUAUCUAUCUGUUAAUUGCACAUGAUUUUGAUAUGUUGUUUUGUAUUGGCGAAUCUGUGAUGCAAUGGUAGCACAAAUGACUAUAUGUUAGAAGAUGUGUGU